GCCAGCGCCCCCGCCUCCCCGCCACGACAGCGCUCCCCUGCCGGGGACUUUGCUCCUCCUGCCGGUGCGUAUUUUUAGCCUCUCCCCCCACCAAACACAAACACCACCUCCCCGUCCUCUUCUUGCUCCCAGGCAGCCAUCCCAGCUGCAGGCGGACCCCUCCCGGGCCUGAUUGGGGUGGAGAGAGUGGGGCGGGAGAGAGAAGGGGUGGGAUCCUGCAAAGGGCUCUCUGCAAGAUGCGCGCAUUUGCAGCUCGCCGGAGGCGCUUUCCAGAAGCGCGCCAGGCGCUCUCGAACACACACACUCCGGACCUCACCCUCUCUCGUUCCUCGCAAUUUCAUGCCAGCGAUCCUGGGAUCAUAAGGCGAUCUAUACACCAUAAACCUAUGGCGCGACCGCAUUGGGAAGGCUGCACGCGGUUCUCGCUGCCAAAGCGAUGUGAGAGAGUUGGGACGGGCUCGGGAAACGGCAACCAAAACGAUCAAGGGGCUGGAGCGACUCUCCUGAAAGGUUGCAGCGUUUGGGGCAUUUUAGAUCAGAGAAAAGGCGAGGCAUUCCUGCAUUGCAGGGGGUUGGACUAGAUGACCCUUGGGAUCCCUUCCAGCUCUACAACUCUUCUAUGCCAUGGGUAGGCAACCUAAGGCCCGGGGGCCAGAUCCGGUCCAAUCACCUUCUAAAUCCUGCCCACAGAUGGUCCAGGAAUCAGUGUGUUUUUACAUGAGUAGAAUGUGCGCUUUUAUUUAAAAUGCAUCUCUGGGUAAUUUGUGGGGCCUGCCUGGUGUUUUUACAUGAGUAGAAUGUGUGCUUUUAUUUAAAAUGCAUCUCUGGGUAAUUUGUGGGGCAUAGGAAUUCAUUAUUUUUUCCCCAAAAUAUAGUCUGGCCCACCACAAAGACUGAGGGACAGUGGACCAGCCCCCUGCUGGAAAAGUUUGCUGACCCCUGUUCUAUGCAGUUACAUGAUAAAAAGGUAAAGGGUAAAAGGACCCCUGGCCAUUAGGUCCAGUCAUGGCCGACUCUGGGGUUGUGGCGCUCAUCUCGCUUUACUGGCCGAGGGAGCCGGCGUACAGCUUCCGGGUCAUGUGGCCAGCAUGACUAAGCCGCUUCUGGAGAACCAGAGCAGCGCACAGAAAUGCUGUUUACCUUCCUGCUGGAGCGGUACCUAUUUAUCUACUUGCACUUUGACGUGCUUUCAAACUGCUAGGUAGGGACCGAGCAACGGGAACUCACCCCGUCACGGGGAUUCAAACUGCCGACCUUCUGAUCGGCAAGUCCUAGGCUCAGUGGUUUAACCCACAGCGCCACCCGCGUCCCAAGUGACAUGAUAGACAUUAAUAAAAUCGUGCAGGGCAUGGCGAGCGUGGAGAGAGUUUUUCUCCCUCUCUCAAAACACUAGAACUCUUGGACAUCCAGUGAAGCUGAAGGUUCAGGACAGAUAAAAGAAGAGACUUUUUCAUGCAGCACAAAAUUCAACUGUGGAACUCCCUCCCCCAGUAAGCAAUGGGGACCUUAAAUGGCUUUAAAAGAGGGUUAGACAAGUUCAUGGCGAGGCCUCGGCUCUGCCUUCACAGCUGGAGGCAGCAAGGCUUCUGGACACCAGCUGCUGGAAACCACAGGAGGGGAGAAGGUUGGCCACUGUGAGAACAGGAUGCUGGACUAGGCUGGCCUGAUCCAGAAGGCUGUUCCUAUGUCCUUAUGGGAAGCCAGGGACCAGGCUUAAGACAUUCCUGGAAUCUAACAGGAACGAACCCUGCUGCAGAUACACAAACAAAUCAGCCAUUUAUUUCCUCUGUUGUUGUUGUUGUUUAGCCGUUUAGUCGUGUCCGACUCUUCGUGACCCCAUGGACCAGAGCACGCCAGGCACUCCUGUCUUCCACUGCCUCCCGCUUAUUUCCUCUAAGUUUCAUUAUAUUGCUGGUUAGUGUUUUAUGGGGAUUUUCUAUUCUGUUGUAGAUAUUUAAUUCUUACGUAUGGUUAGCAACUGUCAGUCUCGGGACUGUCCUGCUGGAAGACUGUCUGGCCAGAGUGGUGCAUGCUCUAGUUCUCUCCCACUUGGACUACUGCAAUGCGCUCUACGUGGGGCUACCUUUGAAGGUGACCCAGAAACUGCAAUUAAUCCAGAAUGCGGCAGCUAUUCAAAGUGCUGGUGUUGACCUUUAAAGCCUUAAACGGCCUCGGUCCUAUAUACCUGAAGGAGCAUCUCCACCCCCAUUGUUCUGCCCAGACGCUGAGGUCCAGCUCCGAGGGCCUUCUGGCGGUUCCCUCACUGCAAGAAGCCAAGUUACAGGAACCAGGCAGAGGGCCUUCUCGGUAGUGGCGCCUGCCCUGUGGAACGCCCUCCCGCCAGAUGUCAAAGAGAUAAAUAACUACCUGAC
Molecule: long non-coding RNA, 2372 nt
Filed under: Podarcis lilfordi (Lilford's wall lizard)
Lineage: Eukaryota; Metazoa; Chordata; Lepidosauria; Squamata; Lacertidae
Source: RNAcentral